CCUCACCUUUUGCAGCAGGGCCGGCCCGGGCAGGCUGUGCGUUCCAGGAGAGGGGGAAGGGUAGGGAGACAGUAGAUGGGUCUGACAAAAAAAAAACAAACAACAACAACAACAAAAACAAACAAAAACAAACAAAAAAAACAACGGCAACGCUCUGAGGAGGAACGGUACUUUACUAAAUCCAACAAAAUCAAACAAAAUAAGAGAGAAAAGAGUAUCCAAAAUUUGAGGCCUUACACUAGUAGACUGCAGGGAAGCACGUGCUUUCCUCAGUGACAAACCCAGAGACAGAGCGAGCGACCCCUGUCCCACCCGCAGCUCCACCUUUCUUAUUCUGCGUGUCAGGUCCUCUGCGAAUGCGGCUCCUUCCCUCCCCUCCCCUCUGAGAACCCAAAAUGCCCAAAAAAGGCAGUCCACAGAACCAGAACAUAAACUCUUUAACUCCCACUGCUUUACAUGAUGCUCUGAUGUGGAAUACCGACAAAAAUCACAAAACCACAACAGGGAAACAGCUUUAAGGCUCUGCUUUACUCUGCUGUAAGAGACUCUAAGUCAGAUCACUUUUUUUCCAGUAUCUUGAGGUGAUGAGGGAAAUAGAUCCUGGGAUUUGUACAUGCAUGUGGUAACCAUUAACCCAGUGCAGCCUUAGUGCCUUGAGAGCAGUGAACUGGUAUGUUCUAACCUAUGCCUAUACCUCCCAGAAUGGUACAACUUCCAUGGAACUAGUUCAG
RNAcentral lists this long non-coding RNA (731 nucleotides) under Gallus gallus (chicken). The record is from RNAcentral. Lineage: Eukaryota; Metazoa; Chordata; Aves; Galliformes; Phasianidae.